AUUGAACGCUGGCGGCAUGCUUUACACAUGCCAGUCGAACGGCAGCGCGGGCUUCGGCCUGGCGGCGAGUGGCGAACGGGUGAGUAAUGCAUCGGAACGUGCCCAGUAGUGGGGGAUAGCCCGGCGAAAGCCGGAUUAAUACCGCAUACGACCUGAGGGUGAAAGCGGGGGACCGAAAGGCCUCGCGCUAUUGGAGCGGCCGAUGUCAGAUUAGCUAGUUGGUGGGGUAAAGGCUUACCAAGGCGACGAUCCGUAGCUGGUCUGAGAGGACGACCAGCCACACUGGGACUGAGACACGGCCCAGACUCCUACGGGAGGCAGCAGUGGGGAAUUUUGGACAAUGGGGGCAACCCUGAUCCAGCCAUGCCGCGUGCGGGAAGAAGGCCUUCGGGUUGUAAACCGCUUUUGUUCGGGAAGAAAUCCUCUGGGCUAAUACCCCGGGGGGAUGACGGUACCGGAAGAAUAAGCACCGGCUAACUACGUG
RNAcentral lists this ribosomal RNA (484 nucleotides) under uncultured bacterium. RNAcentral describes it as "partial 16S ribosomal RNA". It matches the Rfam family "Bacterial small subunit ribosomal RNA", at positions 28 to 507 of the family's 1533-position model. The record is from RNAcentral.